ACGAACGCUGGCGGCGUGCUUAACACAUGCAAGUCGAACGGUAAGGCUCCAGCUUGCUGGGGUACACGAGUGGCGAACGGGUGAGUAACACGUGGGUGACCUGCCCUGCACUUCGGGAUAAGCCUGGGAAACUGGGUCUAAUACCGGAUAGGACCAUGGUGUGGAUACUGUGGUGGAAAGUUUUUUCGGUGUGGGAUGGGCCCGCGGCCUAUCAGCUUGUUGGUGGGGUAAUGGCCUACCAAGGCGGCGACGGGUAGCCGGCCUGGGAGGGUGGACGGCCACAUUGGGACUGAGACACGGCCCAGACUCCUACGGGAGGCAGCAGUGGGGAAUAUUGCACAAUGGGCGGAAGCCUGAUGCAGCGACGCCGCGUGGGGGAUGACGGCCUUCGGGUUGUAAACUCCUUUCACCAUCGACGAAGGGUUUCUGACGGUAGAUGGAGAAGAAGCACCGGCUAACUACGUG
Molecule: ribosomal RNA, 465 nt
Filed under: uncultured bacterium
Lineage: Bacteria
Description: partial 16S ribosomal RNA
Rfam family: Bacterial small subunit ribosomal RNA
Source: RNAcentral